Molecule: ribosomal RNA, 506 nt
Filed under: uncultured bacterium
Lineage: Bacteria
Description: bacterial SSU rRNA
Rfam family: Bacterial small subunit ribosomal RNA
Source: RNAcentral
UCAGGAUGAACGCUAGCUACAGGCUUAACACAUGCAAGUCGAGGGGCAGCAUGGGAGUCGCUUGCGGCUCCCGAUGGCGACCGGCGCACGGGUGAGUAACGCGUAUCCAACCUGCCCCGGAGUCAGGGAUAACCUUCCGAAAGGGAGCCUAAUACCUGAUGUUGUGACAAGAGGACAUCCGUAUGUCACGAAAGAUUUAUCGCUCCGGGAUGGGGAUGCGUCUGAUUAGGCAGUCGGCGGGGUAACGGCCCACCGAGCCAUCGAUCAGUAGGGGUUCUGAGAGGAAGGUCCCCCACACUGGUACUGAGACACGGACCAGACUCCUACGGGAGGCAGCAGUGAGGAAUAUUGGUCAAUGGGCGGAAGCCUGAACCAGCCAAGUAGCGUGCAAGGACGACGGCCCUAUGGGUUGUAAACUGCUUUUUCAUGGGAACAAAGCGGUGCCUGCGGGCGCCUUUGCGUGUACCAUGCGAAUAAGGACCGGCUAAUUCCGUGCCAGCAGCAGC